Molecule: ribosomal RNA, 766 nt
Filed under: Staphylococcus aureus
Lineage: Bacteria; Bacillati; Bacillota; Bacilli; Caryophanales; Staphylococcaceae
Description: bacterial SSU rRNA
Rfam family: Bacterial small subunit ribosomal RNA
Source: RNAcentral
AUAACUUCGGGAAACCGGAGCUAAUACCGGAUGAUAUUUUGAACCGCAUGGUUCAAAAGUGAAAGACGGUCUUGCUGUCACUUAUAGAUGGAUCCGCGCUGCAUUAGCUAGUUGGUAAGGUAACGGCUUACCAAGGCAACGAUGCAUAGCCGACCUGAGAGGGUGAUCGGCCACACUGGAACUGAGACACGGUCCAGACUCCUACGGGAGGCAGCAGUAGGGAAUCUUCCGCAAUGGGCGAAAGCCUGACGGAGCAACGCCGCGUGAGUGAUGAAGGUCUUCGGAUCGUAAAACUCUGUUAUUAGGGAAGAACAUAUGUGUAAGUAACUGUGCACAUCUUGACGGUACCUAAUCAGAAAGCCACGGCUAACUACGUGCCAGCAGCCGCGGUAAUACGUAGGUGGCAAGCGUUAUCCGGAAUUAUUGGGCGUAAAGCGCGCGUAGGCGGUUUUUUAAGUCUGAUGUGAAAGCCCACGGCUCAACCGUGGAGGGUCAUUGGAAACUGGAAAACUUGAGUGCAGAAGAGGAAAGUGGAAUUCCAUGUGUAGCGGUGAAAUGCGCAGAGAUAUGGAGGAACACCAGUGGCGAAGGCGACUUUCUGGUCUGUAACUGACGCUGAUGUGCGAAAGCGUGGGGAUCAAACAGGAUUAGAUACCCUGGUAGUCCACGCCGUAAACGAUGAGUGCUAAGUGUUAGGGGGUUUCCGCCCCUUAGUGCUGCAGCUAACGCAUUAAGCACUCCGCCUGGGGAGUACGACCGCAAGGUU